This 611-nucleotide unclassified non-coding RNA is filed under the name Bombus terrestris (buff-tailed bumblebee). RNAcentral's name for it is "misc RNA ENSBTSG00005026794.1". Lineage: Eukaryota; Metazoa; Arthropoda; Insecta; Hymenoptera; Apidae. The record is from RNAcentral.
GCACGCUGUGAGUGGUGUCGGCUUUUGGAUGAGGUUUGUGCAACUUGAUUAUUAUGCGUUUAACGAUGGACACGGAGGUAUCUUUGACAAAGGUUCCCAUGCGGACUGUCUCGGUGUGUAUCUUGUUAUAAUUUCUUUUAUUUAGUUUAUCCUGCUUCUUUCAUGUUUUAUUCACUGCAUAUGGUAUCUCAGUGCAAGAAGAAGAGGGAUUGUAAAGAAUCCGUGAGUGGCCCCAGAAGACGCAGUCAUCGUGUGAGGUGUUGUAGGCAGGAACGAAGAGUCGAAGUUGUUGAAGGAGUCUUACUUUGUUACGUCGCCUAAAGCAUCUGCACUCCAGCCCUCGCGACCGGACAGCCAGCGGCCUGCGUAACGUCAUUUCGACCCUCAAUAAACUUAAGGACCCAAUAUAGUCUUUCACUUUUACUGUAUUGUACUAACGGGCGUCGUCGGUCAAUCCCUUUGUCCUGAAGAAUUUCUUAAGCCUAAAAUUAUUUUCGAAGCACAUCUGGUUUUUAGAGCGGUUCUUGAGUUUAUUAGGCGCAAUUAAAAAUUACGGAGAAAGCGGACACGCACCCAUUAGCACGCACCCAUUAGGGAAAAUCCAAAUGACU